RNAcentral lists this ribosomal RNA (390 nucleotides) under uncultured bacterium. Its description in RNAcentral is "bacterial SSU rRNA". It matches the Rfam family "Bacterial small subunit ribosomal RNA", at positions 28 to 420 of the family's 1533-position model. The record is from RNAcentral.
GACGAACGCUGGCGGCGUGCUUAACACAUGCAAGUCGAGCGGUAAGGCCCUUUCGGGGGUACACGAGCGGCGAACGGGUGAGUAACACGUGGGUGACCUGCCCUCAGCUCUGGGAUAAGCCUGAGAAACUGGGUCUAAUACUGGAUAUGACUCCACGGUGCAUGUCGUGGGGUGGAAAGCCUUGUGCGGCUGAGGAUGGGCCCGCGGCCUAUCAGCUUGUUGGUGGGGGAUGGCCUACCAAGGCGACGACGGGUAGCCGGCCUGAGAGGGCGACCGGCCACACUGGGACUGAGACACGGCCCAGACUCCUACGGGAGGCAGCAGUGGGGAAUCUUGCGCAAUGGGCGAAAGCCUGACGCAGCGACGCCGCGUGAGGGAUGACGGCCUGGU